RNAcentral lists this ribosomal RNA (405 nucleotides) under uncultured microorganism. Its description in RNAcentral is "bacterial SSU rRNA". It matches the Rfam family "Bacterial small subunit ribosomal RNA", at positions 9 to 410 of the family's 1533-position model. The record is from RNAcentral.
GAGUUUGAUCGUGGCUCAGAUUGAACGCUGGCGGCAUGCCUUACACAUGCAAGUCGAACGGCAGCAUGAUCUAGCUUGCUAGAUUGAUGGCGAGUGGCGAACGGGUGAGUAAUACAUCGGAACGUGCCCUGUAGUGGGGGAUAACUAGUCGAAAGAUUAGCUAAUACCGCAUACGACCUGAGGGUGAAAGUGGGGGACCGCAAGGCCUCAUGCUAUAGGAGCGGCCGAUGUCUGAUUAGCUAGUUGGUGGGGUAAAGGCCCACCAAGGCGACGAUCAGUAGCUGGUCUGAGAGGACGAUCAGCCACACUGGGACUGAGACACGGCCCAGACUCCUACGGGAGGCAGCAGUGAGGAAUUUUGGACAAUGGGCGAAAGCCUGAUCCAGCAAUGCCGCGUGUGUGAAG